CAGAUAUUCAGUUGGUUUUGUCAAAAACUCUUCCAUUUUUUAAUUUCCAUCUAUCAAACGUUUCAAGCCUGCAGUGUUCACAAUCAAUACACAGCAGCAAAGGAACUAUGUGUAGGAGGAAACUCUUAAGGGACUCUCUUGAGGGCCUGUGACUCUUGUUAGGAGAUCAUACGGAAUUUAAGUGUUCUCAAAUCGACGGAAUUUAGCAGGUUUGAUGGAGGAUCGGUCAGUGAACAGGAGGAGGGCGAGGGAAGCAAUGCCAUUCUCCCAAACCCAUGAAGAUGCUCUGUGAGAAGGAGAAAGGCGAGGAAACAAUGUCCUGCCACCAAAGUCCUUAGAGAUGUUCGAUGAGAAGGAACAAGGUGAGGACGUUAUGCUUGCUGCCCCCAAGUCCUUGGAGAUGCUCUGUGAGUAGGAGGAAGGCGAGGGAAGCUAUGCAUGUCGUCCAAAUCCUUAGAGAUGCUCUGUGAAAAGCAGAAAAGCGAUCGAGGAAGCAUUGCCUGCCGCCCAAGUCCUUAGGGAUGCUCUGUGAAAAGCAGAAAAGCGAGGAAGCAUUGCCUGCCGCCCAAGUCCUUAGAGAUGCUCAAUGACAAGGAGGAAGGAGAGGAAAGCAACGUGUGUCAUCCAAGUCCUUGGAAAUGCUGUUGCUUCCAUGGCUCUUCGGACGGAGAACACCAGCCCCGAAAUCAUAAGUACUGAUCUCAGUGUGUCGGCAGUAAGUGGUAUAGGCCUUUAGAUCUAUGCAUUUCAUCCAUUCGAGCAACCCUCGAAGCUAUAGUAGUGAAUCCCUCGAGGCCAUGAGAAACUGAUGGGAGCAAGCGAUAUUCGAUGAUGACGACGACUUCGACGACCACGACUCCAGAUCAUGUAAGUACUUUGGUCAGCGAUGUAGGCCUACUGCGGUGAAUCGAGCAGGCCGUGGAACGCCAUGGGGAUUAUGGACUUGUGUAUUAUGGAAUUCUCACUGGGACGCGAUCAUGGCCCGGUCUUACAAAGAGAUACGACUAUCCAAUCAAUCGUAAUUCUAUGGAAAGCCAUCAGUGUCAUAUUUUC
RNAcentral lists this long non-coding RNA (1053 nucleotides) under Lytechinus variegatus (green sea urchin). RNAcentral describes it as "uncharacterized LOC121422935, transcript variant X2". Lineage: Eukaryota; Metazoa; Echinodermata; Echinoidea; Temnopleuroida; Toxopneustidae. The record is from RNAcentral.